RNAcentral lists this ribosomal RNA (253 nucleotides) under uncultured bacterium. RNAcentral's name for it is "partial 16S ribosomal RNA". It matches the Rfam family "Bacterial small subunit ribosomal RNA", at positions 524 to 776 of the family's 1533-position model. The record is from RNAcentral.
UACAGAGGUCCCAACCGUUGUUCGGAUUCAUUGGGCGUAAAGGGUGCGUAGGCGGUCGCGCAAGUCGGAUGUGAAAUCUCAGGGCUCAACCCUGAAACUGCAUUCGAUACUGCGCGGCUAGAGUGCUGGAGGGGAGACUGGAAUUUACGGUGUAGCAGUGAAAUGCGUAGAUAUCGUAAGGAAGACCAGUGGCGAAGGCGAGUCUCUGGACAGCAACUGACGCUGAGGCACGAAGGCCAGGGGAGCAAACGGG